UCCUCUGGGGCAAAGGAACCGACCUUUAUUAAAAACAAGGUGAGGAUGGGCCAUAGAGCCCACUCUUGUUUUCUCCUCAAAGGGGUUUCUUUUGCCCAAAGCUCCUUCUCCCAAUCUCUCUUUACCCCAAAAUUCCCAGAGAGAGUGUCUUUCCUCCAAACUCCUUUUCCUCUGAGUUCUGAGAGUAGGGUGAUUUCCCCGGAGGGUAGUAACUAAAAGGUUCUCAUAGAGUGUGUCUUCACCCAUCAGCAUCUCAUCCACAGAAUAUUCUGACAUUAGAUGUGCUUCCCCUGAGAGUAAGCCCGUAGUAAGUGAAAGGUUCUCAGAAAGAUUAUCUCCUCCAUCCACACGUGUCUUUUCCUCAGAAUCUUCAGAGAUUAGAAGUGCUUUAAGAAAGAAGAAGCUCUAGAAAUAGGAAUGUUUCAAAAAAGAUAAUCUUCUACCACAAGUCUUUUCCUCUGAAUCUUCAGAGAUUAGAAGUGCUUUAAGAAAGAAGAAGCUCUAGAAAUAGGAAUGUUUCAAGAAAGAUUAUCUCCUACCACAAGUCUUUUCCUCUGAAUAUUCAGAGAUUAGUAGUGCUUUGAAACAGAAGAAGCUGCAGAAACAGGAAUAUUUCAAGAAUGAUUAUCUCCUACCACAAGUUUCUUUUCCUCUGAAUAUUCAGAGAUUAGUAGUGCUUUGAAACAGAAGAAGCUGCAGAAACAGGAAUAUUUCAAGAAUGAUUAUCUCCUACCACAAGUUUCUUUUCCUCUGAAUAUUCAGAGAUUAGUAGUGCUUUGAAACAGAAGAAGCUGCAGAAACAGGAAUAUUUCAAGAAUGAUUAUCUCCACCACAAGUGUCUUUUCCUCUCCAGAUUAUAUAGUUGUGUUGAUUUUUUCAUUCCUAAAACACAAAAUACCAUUCGUCACAUCAGGAAGCAGAAGGAGAGGGAGGGAUACAUGGGAUACUGUGAUGUAAGAAACGGAAAACAGCCUUGCAUAUCUUUAAAUGAGGUGAAGAAUCUAAAAGGUAUUAAUGAAAAAGUGGGGAGGAGGAACAAAAAGGAUUGUUCAUGCAGCGGGAUUCCUUCCACCUCUGCAGCUUCAGCAUCUGGGCUUGGCUUGAGACCUCCAGCACUAAGAGGGGAGCCUUUUGGUGGCUUUGCCCACUUUUCCUGCUGUCUGGCAUCUGCUUGUGUGUCUCCUGUCCAUCCACGCUCAGGUGUCAUGUGUCUUUCCUCAGUCCACAUGUUACCUGUCCUCUCCUUUGUGGGGCGGUGGCUGGCUACACCUGCCUGGUCCCAAGACUUCUCUUGCUUCUCAGUACCCAGCGUCCAUGUGUGCUCGAAUCAUCUCCUGGCCCUCUCCCUUCCCAGACUCAUGACUCCCUUCCUGUCUCCUUUUCUCCCUUGAAGCCAAGUCUGGGGUAAAUUCACUUUACUUUAAAAUUGCUCGAUAAAAGGUUUUCCCAACAGUCCACUUACAGAAAGAGAGAACUAUCUAUAGUUGGUAAAAAAAAAAAUAGAUGGCAUAAAUCCAAAGCAGUUUGGCAGAAUUUUGAUAGAAGAUCAAUACUUCAUACCACAGAGUAAAUUAAACUAUAAGAGAAUACAUGGUUUAGCUAGGAUAAAUGAAAGAAUAAAGUGAUACCUGAGGAAAAUUAUACUUGUAAUCACUAAUAAAUUUGCUUAAACCUAACCAUUAAUGUAUUAUUCAGUCAAAACUGUGGAUUUACUCCUCCAAUGUGCUGGGCACAUACAAAGACAGAAGGGUUAAGUAACAAACAACAAGCACAUGCACAUCAUACUACUAGGUUCUGGAGAUGUAAACACUAUUAAAGACACAGUCCCUAACAAGACAAGCUUAGGUUCUAAUAAGAAAGAAAAUGUAUAAAU
This 1873-nucleotide long non-coding RNA is filed under the name Sarcophilus harrisii (Tasmanian devil). Its description in RNAcentral is "lncRNA (ENSSHAG00000024806.1)". The record is from RNAcentral. Lineage: Eukaryota; Metazoa; Chordata; Mammalia; Dasyuromorphia; Dasyuridae.